GCGAAUGGGUAGCUGAGUACACAAGGCACCUGCCCGGUAAGCAGAAGGGUGUGGGUUCGAUUCCCGCCCCUGGACA
Molecule: transfer RNA, 76 nt
Filed under: Cordylochernes scorpioides
Lineage: Eukaryota; Metazoa; Arthropoda; Arachnida; Pseudoscorpiones; Chernetidae
Description: tRNA-Thr
Rfam family: tRNA (bases 7-70)
About the family: Transfer RNA (tRNA) molecules are approximately 80 nucleotides in length.
Source: RNAcentral